CCUGGUGAGUGCAUGAGUAUUUGACCCUUGCCUACAGAUAGAAGCACCAGCUUGCUGGGUGGAUUAGUGGCGAACGGGUGAGUAACACGUGAGUAACCUGCCCCUGACUCUGGGAUAAGCGUUGGAAACGACGUCUAAUACUGGAUACGACUGCCGGCCGCAUGGUCUGGUGGUGGAAAGAUUUUUUGGUUGGGGAUGGACUCGCGGCCUAUCAGCUUGUUGGUGAGGUAAUGGCUCACCAAGGCGACGACGGGUAGCCGGCCUGAGAGGGUGACCGGCCACACUGGGACUGAGACACGGCCCAGACUCCUACGGGAGGCAGCAGUGGGGAAUAUUGCACAAUGGGCGAAAGCCUGAUGCAGCAACGCCGCGUGAGGGAUGACGGCCUUCGGGUUGUAAACCUCUUUUAGUAGGGAAGAAGCGAAAGUGACGGUACCUGCAGAAAAAGCACCGGCUAACUACGUGCCAGCAGCCCGCGGUAAUACGUAGGGUGCAAGCGUUGUCCGGAAUUAUUGGGCGUAAAGAGCUCGUAGGCGGUUUGUCGCGUCUGCUGUGAAAUCCCGAGGCUCAACCUCGGGCUUGCAGUGGCUACGGCAGACUAGAGUGCGGUAGGGGAGAUUGGAAUUCCUGGUGUAGCGGG
This 640-nucleotide ribosomal RNA is filed under the name Curtobacterium sp. N321. Its description in RNAcentral is "bacterial SSU rRNA". It matches the Rfam family "Bacterial small subunit ribosomal RNA", at positions 47 to 682 of the family's 1533-position model. Lineage: Bacteria; Bacillati; Actinomycetota; Actinomycetes; Micrococcales; Microbacteriaceae. The record is from RNAcentral.